UACGGGAGGUGCAAGCGUUGUUCGGAAUGACUGGGCGUAAAGAGCACGUAGGCGGGCGUGUAAGUCAGAUGUGAAAUCCCUGGGCUUAACCUAGGAAUGGCAUUUGAAACUGCAUGUCUUGAAUGUUCGAGGGGCUAGUGGAAUUCCAGGUGUAGGAGUGAAAUCCGUAGAUAUCUGGAGGAAUAUCAGAGGCGAAGGCGACUGGCUGGCGAAACAUUGACGCUGAGGUGCGAAAGCGUGGGGAGCAAACAGG
RNAcentral lists this ribosomal RNA (253 nucleotides) under uncultured bacterium. RNAcentral describes it as "partial 16S ribosomal RNA". It matches the Rfam family "Bacterial small subunit ribosomal RNA", at positions 524 to 776 of the family's 1533-position model. The record is from RNAcentral.